CCCAGCACCGAAUCCCGCGUUCGACAUCGGACGCCGGGAAUGUGGUGUUAGGGAGGGUCCAUUAUCCCGAGGUUAUGCGGUGCGUCCAAGUCCUUCUUGAACGGGGCCACAGCCCAUAGAGGGUGCCAGGCCCGUAGUGACCGUCGCUAACCGCGGGAGGAUCUCUCCUCAGAGUCGGGUUGCUUGAGAGUGCAGCCCUAAGUGGGUGGUAAACUCCAUCUAAGGCUAAAUAUGACCACGAGACCGAUAGCGAACAAGUACCGUGAGGGAAAGUUGAAAAGCACUUUGAAGAGAGAGUUCAAGAGUACGUGAAACCGUUUAGGGGUAAACCUGAGAAACCCGAAAAGUCGAAGGGAGAAAUUCAUUCGCGUUUCGCUGCUGGCGUGAGAUGGUCGAGUGACGGAAUUCGCUUGCGUUUUCCGCGCCUUCCGUUUUUCGAUCCGGCGGCGAACGCGUGCACUUUUCUCCUGGUAGGACGUCGCGAUUCGUUGGGUGUCGGUCUAAGGCCCGCGGUGGAGCCCGUUUGGACGCUUGCGUUCCGAGCGGACCCGCGGUGUCCCGGCUGACUCGCUCGACGGUAUAAGAAAGGCUCGGGGCCGCUUUUAAAGCGUUCGACCCGCGGCAAGCGCGCAAGAUCGUCGGCUAUCGGACCUAGUGCCGGUACUGGCCUCUUGUGACUGUUGGCUGCGGUGUUCUCGAACAGACCCUCUGUUAGCCGAUCUGCGACGCUAUAGCUUUGGGUACUUUCAGGACCCGUCUUGAAACACGGACCAAGGAGUCUAGCAUGUACGCGAGUCAUUGGGAAUCACUAAACCUAAAGGCGUAAUGAAAGUAAAGGUUUGCCUUGCGCAGACCGAGGGAGGAUGGGCGGUUCGCCUUUAAAGCGGCCGCCUCGCACUCCCGGGGCGUCUCAUUCUCAUCGCGAGAAGAGGCGCACCAAGAGCGUACACGCUGGGACCCGAAAGAUGGUGAACUAUGCCUGGUC
Molecule: ribosomal RNA, 985 nt
Filed under: Corimalia tamarisci
Lineage: Eukaryota; Metazoa; Arthropoda; Insecta; Coleoptera; Brentidae
Description: eukaryotic LSU rRNA
Rfam family: Eukaryotic large subunit ribosomal RNA
Source: RNAcentral